AACGCGAAGAACCUUACCCAGGCUUGACAUCCCUUGAAAGCCGUAGAAAUACGGUCUUAAUCGCAAGAUUACAAGGUGACAGGUGCUGCAUGGCUGUCGUCAGCUCGUGCCGUGAGGUGUUGGGUUAAGUCCCGCAACGAGCGCAACCCUCGCUUCGUGUUGGUCCGCAAGGAUCUCUCACGAGGGACCGCCGGUGAGAAGCCGGAGGAAGGUGGGGAUGACGUCAAGUCAGCAUGGCCCUUACGUCUGGGGCUACACACGUGCUACAAUGGGUGCGACAACGAGUUCCAAGCUCGCGAGGGUAAGGCAAUCUCUUAAACGCAUCCUCAGUUCGGAUUGAAGGCUGCAACUCGCCUUCAUGAAGUCGGAAUCGCUAGUAAACGCAGAUCAGCUACGCUGCGUUGAAUACGUUCCCGGGCCUUGUACACACCGGAGUGC
This 438-nucleotide ribosomal RNA is filed under the name uncultured bacterium. RNAcentral's name for it is "bacterial SSU rRNA". It matches the Rfam family "Bacterial small subunit ribosomal RNA", at positions 958 to 1398 of the family's 1533-position model. The record is from RNAcentral.